GAUGAACGCUGGCGGCGUGCCUAAUACAUGCAAGUCGAACGCAUAGCGAAAGGUGCUUGCACCUUUCAAGUGAGUGGCGAACGGGUGAGUAACACGUGGACAACCUGCCUCAAGGCUGGGGAUAACAUUUGGAAACAGAUGCUAAUACCGAAUAAAACUUAGUGUCGCAUGACACAAAGUUAAAAGGCGCUUCGGCGUCACCUAGAGAUGGAUCCGCGGUGCAUUAGUUAGUUGGUGGGGUAAAGGCCUACCAAGACAAUGAUGCAUAGCCGAGUUGAGAGACUGAUCGGCCACAUUGAGACUGAGACACGGCCCAAACUCCUACGGGAGGCUGCAGUAGGGAAUCUUCCACAAUGGGCGAAAGCCUGAUGGAGAAACGCCGCGUGUGUGAUGAAGGCUUUCGGGUCGUAAAGCACUGUUGUAUGGGAAGAACAGCUAGAAUAGGAAAUGAUUUUAGUUUGACGGUACCAUACAAGAAAGGAACGGCUAAAUACGU
Molecule: ribosomal RNA, 496 nt
Filed under: uncultured bacterium
Lineage: Bacteria
Description: partial 16S ribosomal RNA
Rfam family: Bacterial small subunit ribosomal RNA
Source: RNAcentral